GAUGAACGCUGGCGGCGUGCCUAAUACAUGCAAGUCGAGCGAACAGACGAGUAGCUUUCUCCUCUGACGUUAGCGGCGGACGUGUGUGUAACACGUGGAUAACCUACCUAUAAGACUGGGAUAACUUCGGGAAACCGGAGCUAAUACCGGAUAAUAUAUUUAACCGCAUGGUUCAAUAGUUAAAGACUGUUUUGCUGUCACUUAUAGAUGGAUCCGCUCCGCAUUAGCUAGUUUGUAAGGUAACGGCUUACCAAGGCAACGAUGCGUAGCCGACCUGAGAGGGUGAUCGGCACCACUGGAACUGAGACAAGAUCCAGACUCAAACGGGAGGCAGCAGUAGGGAAUCUUCCGCAAUGGGCGAAAGCCGGACGGAGAAAAGCCGCGUGAGUGAUGAAGGGAUUCGGAUAGUAAAACUCUGUUAUUAGGGAAGAACAAAUGUGUAAGUAACUAUGCACGUCUUGAAGGUACCUAAUCAGAAAGCCACGGCUAACUACGUG
RNAcentral lists this ribosomal RNA (497 nucleotides) under uncultured bacterium. RNAcentral describes it as "partial 16S ribosomal RNA". It matches the Rfam family "Bacterial small subunit ribosomal RNA", at positions 28 to 507 of the family's 1533-position model. The record is from RNAcentral.